This 407-nucleotide ribosomal RNA is filed under the name uncultured bacterium. Its description in RNAcentral is "partial 16S ribosomal RNA". It matches the Rfam family "Bacterial small subunit ribosomal RNA", at positions 29 to 526 of the family's 1533-position model. The record is from RNAcentral.
AUUGAACGCUGGCGGCAGGCCUAACACAUGCAAGUCGAGCGGAGCGGCAGACGGGUGAGUAAUGCCUAGGAAUCUGCCUGGGAGUGGGGGAUAACGUCCGGAAACGGGCGCUAAUACCGCAUACUAUCAGAUGAGCCUAGGUCGGAUUGGCUAGAUGGUGGGGUAAAGGCCAACCAAGGCGACGAUCCCUAGCUGGUCUGAGAGGAUGAGCAGCCACACUGGAACUGAGACACGGUCCAGACUCCUACGGGAGGCAGCAGUGGGGAAUAUUGCACAAUGGGCGCAAGCCUGAUGCAGCCAUGCCGCGUGUAGGAAGAAGGCCUUCGGGUUGUAAAGUACUUUCAGCGGGGAGGCGUUACCCGCAGAAGAAGCACCGGCUAACUCCGUGCCAGCAGCCGCGGUAAUUC